AGCGGCAGGCUUAACACAUGCAAGGUCGAGGGGCAGCACGGGUAGCAAUACCUGGUGGCGACCGGCGCAAGGGUGCGUAACGCGUGAGCAACAUGCCCUAUACAGGGGGAUAAUCCAGGGAAACUUGGUCUAAUAUCCCAUAGUAUUUAGAGGAGGCAUCUUCUAUAAAUUAAAGCUUCGGUGGUAUAGGAUUGGCUCGCGUGACAUUAGCUAGAUGGUGAGGUAACGGCUCACCAUGGCAAUGAUGUCUAGGGGUUCUGAGAGGAAGGCCCCCCACACUGGGACUGAGACACGGCCCAGACUCCUACGGGAGGCAGCAGUGAGGAAUAUUGGACAAUGGAUGGAAAUCUGAUCCAGCCAUGCCGCGUGCAGGAAGACAGCCCUAUGGGUUGUAAACUGCUUUUAUAUGGGAGCAAUAAGGUCUACGUGUAGACUGAUGAGAGUACCAUAUGAAUAAGCAUCGGCUAACUCCGUG
Molecule: ribosomal RNA, 475 nt
Filed under: uncultured bacterium
Lineage: Bacteria
Description: bacterial SSU rRNA
Rfam family: Bacterial small subunit ribosomal RNA
Source: RNAcentral